Molecule: ribosomal RNA, 1218 nt
Filed under: uncultured bacterium
Lineage: Bacteria
Description: bacterial SSU rRNA
Rfam family: Bacterial small subunit ribosomal RNA (bases 3-963)
Source: RNAcentral
GGAAGUUUGAUCCUGGCUCACAACGAACGCUGGCGGCGCGCAUAACACAUGCAAGUCCAACGGAUUACUUUCUGUACCACUACAGGAGGUAGCUCAGUGUCACAAGGGUGCGUAACACGUGGGCAACCUGCCCGGAAGUGGUGGAUACCUCGCCGAAAGGCCAAUUAAUAACGCAUGUGGCUAGAGGAGGACCUCUCCUUGAAGCCUAAGUCCGGACAACCUGACGCUUCUGGAAGGGCCCGCGGCCUAUCAGCUAGUUGGUGAGGUAACGGCUCACCAAGGCUUUGACGGGUAGCUGGUCUGAGAAGACGACCAGCCACACUGGAACUGAGACACGGUCCAGACACCUACGGGUGGCAGCAGUCGAGAAUUUUUCUCAGUGGGGGAAACCCUGAAGGAGCGACCCCGCGUGUAGGAUGAAGGUCUUCGGAUUGUAAACUCCUGUCAUUGGUGAACCAGACUAGGCGAGUAACUGCGAUCUACUUUGAUAGUACCCGAAGAGGAAGAGACUGCUAACUCUGUGCCAGCAGCCGCGGUAAUACAGACGUCUCAAGCGUUGUUCGGAUUCGUUGGGCGUAAAGGGUGCGUAGGCUGCGAGGUAAGUCUGGUGUGAAAUCCCGGGGCUCAACCCCGGAACUGCACUGGAUACUGCUUUGCUAGAGCACUGAAGAGGGAACUGGAAUUUACGGUGUAGCAGUGAAAUGCGUAGAUAUCGUAACGAAGACCAGUGGCGAAGGCGAGUUCCUGGACAGUUGCUGACGCUGACGCACGAAUGCCAGGCGAGCAACGUGGAUUACAUAGCUCGGUCGUCCUGGCAGUAAACGGUGCACGUCUGCUGUGGGAAGAUCCCACCCUUGCCUGCACGAACUACUGAGUUAACGACUCGCCUGCGGAGUCGGUCGCAGGAUUACACUCAACUAAUUGAGGGUGCCCCACAGCUGCGAAUAUGUGCUCAAUUCAUGUACGCAACAACUUACCGGGCUUGACUGCACUCUAAUCGGGCAAGCCGCCAGUCCGCAAGGCACAUUGGCCUGGCCUGCAGGAUCCCUCACUCAGGAGGUAAAUUCGGUAAGUCCUCACCACGCAACCUUUGGACUGGGGCCCCCCUUGCGAAGACCCCUGGGAAACGCCGGAAAAGGGGGGAAGGGGGAAAACUAAACCACCUCCUACCCCUGGGGCCCCCUCAAAACCCACAAACAAACCAACCCCCGGGGAAAA